This 465-nucleotide ribosomal RNA is filed under the name uncultured Klebsiella sp. Its description in RNAcentral is "bacterial SSU rRNA". It matches the Rfam family "Bacterial small subunit ribosomal RNA", at positions 338 to 795 of the family's 1533-position model. Lineage: Bacteria; Pseudomonadati; Pseudomonadota; Gammaproteobacteria; Enterobacterales; Enterobacteriaceae. The record is from RNAcentral.
CCUACGGGGCGCAGCAGUGGGGAAUAUUGCACAAUGGGCGCAAGCCUGAUGCAGCCAUGCCGCGUGUGUGAAGAAGGCCUUCGGGUUGUAAAGCACUUUCAGCGGGGAGGAAGGCGUUAAGGUUAAUAACCUUGGCGAUUGACGUUACCCGCAGAAGAAGCACCGGCUAACUCCGUGCCAGCAGCCGCGGUAAUACGGAGGGUGCAAGCGUUAAUCGGAAUUACUGGGCGUAAAGCGCACGCAGGCGGUCUGUCAAGUCGGAUGUGAAAUCCCCGGGCUCAACCUGGGAACUGCAUUCGAAACUGGCAGGUGAGAGUCUUGUAGAGGGGGGUAGAAUGCCAGGUGUAGCGGUGAAAUGCGUAGAGAUCUGGAGGAAUACCGGUGGCGAAGGCGGCCCCCUGGACAAAGACUGACGCGCAGGUGCGAAAGCGUGGGGAGCAAACAGGAUUAGAUAGCCCGGUAGUC